AGAGUGAACGCUGGCGGCAGGCCUAACACAUGCAAGUCGAGCGGCAGCGCGGGGGCAACCCUGGCGGCGAGCGGCGGACGGGUGAGGAAUACAUCGGAAUCUACCUUGUUGUGGGGGAUAACGUAGGGAAACUUACGCUAAUACCGCAUACGACCUGAGGGUGAAAGCGGGGGACCGCAAGGCCUCGCGCGACAAGAUGAGCCGAUGUCCGAUUAGCUAGUUGUGAGGUAAAGCUCACCAAGGCGACGAUCGGUAGCUGGUCUGAGAGGAUGAUCAGCCACACUGGAACUGAGACACGGUCCAGACUCCUACGGGAGGCAGCGAGUGGGAAGUAUUGGACAAGUGGGGGCAACCCGUGAUCCAGCCAUCGCGCGUGUGUGAAGAAGGCCUUCGGUAGUAAGCGUACGUUU
This 410-nucleotide ribosomal RNA is filed under the name uncultured soil bacterium. RNAcentral describes it as "bacterial SSU rRNA". It matches the Rfam family "Bacterial small subunit ribosomal RNA", at positions 26 to 437 of the family's 1533-position model. The record is from RNAcentral.